RNAcentral lists this long non-coding RNA (4945 nucleotides) under Equus caballus (horse). RNAcentral's name for it is "lncRNA (ENSECAG00000054132.1)". Lineage: Eukaryota; Metazoa; Chordata; Mammalia; Perissodactyla; Equidae. The record is from RNAcentral.
UACAAGUGAUGCUAAGUGCUGUGAGGAAGUUUACAGGGUGACAGGAGAGACAACAAGAGGAGGGACCUACUCAGAGAGGGUGGUAUGGGACAGACUCUCUGUACAGGUGACAUUACGCUAAACCCAGAAGGAUGAGGAGGAGCCAUGCAGAAUGUAGCUGAGCUGGGGAUGCACUCUAGCAAGAAGCGAUGUGACAAAGGCCCUGAGACCUGAAAGGGGCAAUGCUGGAAUGGAAAAUAGGAAUUGGAAAACGGGAGGUGGAUAUGGGACAUGUUGUAGCUGAGGGGCCAGUGGGCACCCAGAAGAAGAUACCAAGGCAGUUCUGGAAACACAGGACUUGAGCUCAGAAGAGAGGAUUGCCUGCAUGGAGGAGAUAAGGGAAGCAAUGCAUUUGGCAGGAUUGCCCAGGGGAGUGAUCUAAGAUACACAGACACAUAAGACAUAGAAGCUGAACCAAAAGAUCCCCGGGGUGUGCAGGGUCAGCCCCGGGAGUCCUCAGCCCCACACCACCCUCUCUGAGUAGGUCCCUCCUCUUGUUGUCUCUCCUGUCACCCUGUAAACUUCCUCACAGCACUUAGCAGCAGCCUGUGAACUGAGGAGCAGAAUUGUGAAUUGAGGUAGUGGAGGACAGAGAGCCUGACAACAGGAGUUCCUGUGGGGAUUUCAAGGCUGAAGAUGAUCAGAGAGGGGGCAACACCAAGGUAGGGAAUGAGAUCAGGUAGCAACAUUCAGUUCACCCCAAAUCAUAUCCAUUGCACAAGAGCAUGGGCAGCCUGGUGCCAGCAAGAGCCAAGGAUGGAGCCUUAGGAAACAAAAGGAGGGAGGGCCUGGGGACAGAUGCUCCCCAGGCUGAAGCGGAUACAGACGGCCCUGCUGGUGAAGAACACAAACCGGAAUUCCCUAUUUCAGCUGUUUUGUAUGAAAGCUAGUGCUGCCCAAGUCAAAAUGCAUGAUGUGUUCAGAGAAAAUGCUGACCUUCUGUUCUCCCACAAGUGAGCUGAGCAGGGAUAGAGAACGGAGUUGCUCUGGAGAAGUCUACAACAAAAUUAAUGGCUCAGAAAGGCUGAGUGUGAUGACAGCUGCUUUUCCUCAGUUUUCUUUCCUGGACUUGAGACACUUUCUUUUCCCGUAAGACUUGCUGGUUGUUGCUAAAGGGCAACACAACACAUGCAAACUUUUAAAUUUGCGAGAAUCAGAAACAGAAAUUCCUCUUUGGAACACUGCUGCAGAUGACGGCAAAGCCAAGAUGCUGUGGGACUCCCUGAAGAGGAGAUGUACCAAAACUCUGCGUCCUUAGAAGACAGCCCACUUCAUGCAGUGUUUUUGGGUAUCCACAGCAGCCUAACAAAAACGGCAGCCGAGGCCUUUCAGUUAAAGCCGCUGAUGCACAGCCCGUAAUUUCCAUAGUCCCUCUAGCUGUAGAAGCUUCUCUCUACACCAACAAUGCAGGUCAAGAAUCUGAACUUAAAUGACUGAUUUUGCCACGUUUUCUACUUUCACUUGGUAAUUCUUACAGAAACCGAAAAAAACAAUUUCACUAAGUGCUUCAUUUAUCUGUAUCUACACGUGGACUUAGGAGGGUCCUCUCAGUACAUAAAAUAUCUUUUUUUUUUUUGGUGAGGAAGAUUGUUGCUGAGCUAACAUCCAUGACAGUCUUCCUCCAUUUUGCACGUGGGUCAGUCGCCACCACAGCACGGCUUGAUGAGCAAUGUGUAGGUCCGUGCCUGGGAUCCAAACUCAUGAACCCUGGGCAACCAAAGUGGAGCACCUAAACUCAACCAUUACGCCACCGGGCAGCCCCAAAAUAUCUUAAAAUUAUAAUACCCUAUUUUAAGCUGAUAACAACUUAACUUCAACAGAAUUCCUAAACUUCACAUUUUUACUUCUCCCUCUCACAUUUUAGGUUAUUAUUGUUACAAUUUACAUAUUUUUAAUAUUGUGUAACUAAUAACACAUUAUUGUAGUUACAGCUACUUUUACUACAUUCCUUUUUUUUUUUACUUUUAAACUACAGUUCUAAUGAAUUAUGCACCGCUUCCAUAUAAGAGAAUCUAACUUGGCUGUAUACUUACCAUCACCAAUAAGAUUUACGUACCUUUUUACGUUUUUAUGAUGUUACUGAAAGUUUGGUCUCUGAUCCCGAUGCCAAUCCAAGUAAAGAGAACUGAGUCUUGGGAGAAAAAGGAAAGGCUUUACUUUGCCAGGCAGAGGGAGCAAAGCAAGGGCCAGUGCCCCAAAAGUUGCUGGCUCUCUAUUAAGAAAUGGGUAAGGGUUUUCAUUUGGGGUUUUCGGUAGGGGAGGGGGCCGUGGUCUUCUUGGUCAGCGUUUUCCCAUGGGCCUGUGUCUGGGCUGCUUCCAGGGAGACAGGAUUUUUCAGCUGAGUGUCCUUGGCUGUUUAUCUCCAUGGUAGAAGGCAGACUCUGAGGUCAGGACGCCGAGGAGUGGGCCUGGGAAGCUUUGGUCUCUUGAUAUUCUUUGCACAUUAGUUUCUCUCUAAGAGAACUUCCAGGUCCUGGGAUUAGACACAACUUUGGUGGGAGCCCAGGGUGAGGCCACGUGGGCUUGAACAAUUUCUAACUUGUUUGGCCCUAUAGCUCAGGGAGUCAGAGGCUAAAAAAACAAGCAUUUACAUAUGAGCAUAAUCUAAGACCCAGGGACCUGGGAAUGUGUGUGUUUGGUUUUAACCCACAUGUGCCAGGUUCACCGUAGGGGAACUGAUAUCAGGGCUGAUAUCGACUGAGAACUGGGAACAAUGUCACCCGUUGUGGCCAGGGGAAGCUCAAGGUCAGCGGGCGGCUCCCCUCGCUCCAACAGGGUCUGCCCCUUCUGGGACUCUUAGCAGCAUCUCCUGUGAACAGCUGUCAGCUGUCCUCCUCCCAGGGCACAAAUCAGGAAGACUCCCAUCUAGCCAUCCGAAAGCCACUGUGUCAGUGGCGCCCACCCCAGAGCAACAUGUGCCAGGCCCAUAUUUCUCAGAAAUCUGUCGCUGGCUCAGCUCUGUCCUCUCAGCCCGGAGGACGGGAGUGGACACCACAGGCCCAGACUUCCAAGUCUGUCAGGGGCUCAGCGCCGUCCUCUCAGCCGGAGGACGGGAGUGGACACCACAGGCCCAGACUUCCAAGUCUGUCAGGGGCUCAGCGCCGUCCUCUCGGCCCGGAGGACAGGAGUGGACACCACAGGCCCGAACUUCCAAGUCUGUCAGGGGCUCAGGGGCCAUCCUCUCAGCCCGGAGGACGGGAGUGGACACCACAGGCCCGAACUUCCAAGUGUGUCGCGGCUCAGUGCCGUCCUCUCAGCCCGGAGGACGGGAGUGGACACCACAGGCCCGAACUUCCAAGUCUGUCAGGGGCUCAGGGGCCAUCCACUCAGCCCGGAGGACGGAGCGCGGCCGCCCUUCCUCCCACGCCUCCUCAGGCCCCCGCCUACUGGGCAAGCCGACCCCGCGCAGUUCACCAGUUCAACGACCGCCAGGCUUCUCGGCCUCUGACCGAUGGGCCGUGGGAUCUACUAACGGGAACUGCUGCAAGAGAAACUGAGGCACGCCGAACGCUCUUCUGUUUGUUUGAGUAAAAACGACCCCAUCCGGCAGUGUCACGCGGAGACGCUGGGAUCACCGGCCAACAGGGGCUGGACACAGACUUCUGCCGAGAAGAGGCGACAUGAGGGAAGGAGGCGCGGGCGGCGCUGCCUCUGAGGCCGGGCUGGCUGUCGGCAGGCCGUCCUCGGUUCCCCGCGUUAACCCUGAGGCGCCCGCGGGCCAUCGGCACGGCAGCCACACUCGGAGGGCGCCCGGGAGCUGACGUAAGCACGUAACGCGGACGCGCCAGGCCGCGCUCCCUCGAAGGCCGGCAGGCCGCUGGAAGGUCGAGCGCCCCGCUCUCUAGCCCGCCCCAACUGGGGCCCGGGGGCCGGGCGCGCCUGCACACGGAGGGACAGCGGCUCUCGGACGGGACGGCGGCGCCUACUCACCGUGCCCAGCGCGCCAACCCAACAGGACCAAGUGCCCCCGCGGCGCUGGGGCCUGGCGGCGCCAGGCCGGGCCCCCGAGGCCGGCCUCGUGGAGGGGCGAGGAGCGGGGGCGCUGCCUCGGGAGCUCGCCCGGACGGCCCAGGGCCCGCCGCCCCAGGGGCUCGACUCCAGGCCCGCUGGAGGGCCUCGCCGCGGUGGACUCCGGGCGGGCUGCACCCAGGUGGGGCACAGCAGGACCUGGACCGGAAGCUGGGGCGCGAGGACGGGAGGCGGCCGCUCCGGGAAGGCCGCUAUCCUGAGGCGGCCAAGUGACCGGACGUGGGCCUCGUGCAGGGGUCAGUCGGAGCCUCCCUGGCACAGCAGAGGCCUCGAGGUGUGGGCAGGCGGCGGCUCACCGGAAGCUGGGCCAGAAGCUCCCUCCACAUGCCGCCGGAAUCCCAGCGGCCAAAGGGUGGGGGGCAUGGGAGGUGAUGACUGCUGGCUCUUAAAACUUCCCCACCCCGCCCCCCCACCCCCGCGCCGGAAGUGACGCACGUUACUCUGCUCGCCCCUCAUUGGCCAAGGGAAAUCAUGUGGCCACACCUUCCUUCAAAAGGGCAGCGCGGGCCGCCCAGCGCUCCUGGACCGGGUGGUGGUGAGGGCACCAGCGUCUGCCCACGUGCCUGCCCUGCCUGUUCAGCCUGGUGGGAAUCCCCGUCCAGGAGUGCAAGCCGGUGGGAACCAACUGCCUGCUCGAUUUACUUCAUCCUUGAAGUGCUGCCCGAUGGUAAAAGAUGAUCCUGACUAAAAUUACCAAGAGAAUAUUGAAAUAGGGGAAACCCACAGCAGCCCUCGAAACCAGGAAAGAACCAGUAGUCUGCCAGGAUUUCAAGGAACCCUGAUGGAGAGCAGAGGGAAGCAAACUAAAGGAAAGCCCUAUGAGCCACCAACUGGCCAUUUCUCACCCAUUCACUGAGAGCAUCCAGCACUUUUCCAG